GUAAGACGAACAAAAAGUUUG
This 21-nucleotide microRNA is filed under the name Gadus morhua (Atlantic cod). Its description in RNAcentral is "gmo-miR-736-3p". Its record names the gene gmo-miR-736-3p. Lineage: Eukaryota; Metazoa; Chordata; Actinopteri; Gadiformes; Gadidae. The record is from miRBase by way of RNAcentral.